Molecule: ribosomal RNA, 550 nt
Filed under: Fusarium solani
Lineage: Eukaryota; Fungi; Ascomycota; Sordariomycetes; Hypocreales; Nectriaceae
Description: eukaryotic LSU rRNA
Rfam family: 5.8S ribosomal RNA (bases 162-315)
Source: RNAcentral
GAUGGGUCUUACCGAGUUAUACACUCAUCAGCCCUGCUGAACAUACCUAAAACGUUGCUUCGGCGGGAACAGACGGCCCUGUAACAACGGGCCGCCCCCGCCAGAGGACCCCUAACUCUGUUUUUAUAAUGUUUUUCUGAGUAAACAAGCAAAUAAAUUAAAACUUUCAACAACGGAUCUCUUGGCUCUGGCAUCGAUGAAGAACGCAGCGAAAUGCGAUAAGUAAUGUGAAUUGCAGAAUUCAGUGAAUCAUCGAAUCUUUGAACGCACAUUGCGCCCGCCAGUAUUCUGGCGGGCAUGCCUGUUCGAGCGUCAUUACAACCCUCAGGCCCCCGGGCCUGGCGUUGGGGAUCGGCGGAAGCCCCCUGUGGGCACACGCCGUCCCUCAAAUACAGUGGCGGUCCCGCCGCAGCUUCCAUUGCGUAGUAGCUAACACCUCGCAACUGGAGAGCGGCGCGGCCAUGCCGUAAAACACCCAACUUCUGAAUGUUGACCUCGAAUCAGGUAGGAAUACCCGCUGAACUUAAGCAUAUCAUAGAGCAGGAGGAGA